RNAcentral lists this ribosomal RNA (1207 nucleotides) under Clostridium perfringens. RNAcentral describes it as "partial 23S ribosomal RNA". It matches the Rfam family "Bacterial large subunit ribosomal RNA", at positions 1 to 1213 of the family's 2925-position model. Lineage: Bacteria; Bacillati; Bacillota; Clostridia; Eubacteriales; Clostridiaceae. The record is from RNAcentral.
GGUCAAGCUACAAAGGGCGCAUGGUGAAUGCCUUGGCAUCAGGAGCCGAUGAAGGACGUGAUAAGCUGCGAUAAGCUUCGGGUAGGCGCACAUAGCCUGAGAUCCGAAGAUCUCCGAAUGAGGAAACUCACAUGGGAAACCCCAUGUAUCAUUAAGUGAAUACAUAGCUUAAUGAAGGUAACCCAGGGAACUGAAACAUCUAAGUACCUGGAGGAAGAGAAAGAAAAAUCGAUUUUCUUAGUAGCGGCGAGCGAAAGGGAAAGAGCCCAAACCGGAAACUUGUUUCCGGGGUUGUGGACAUAACAUAAAAGUGGAGGCUAUUGUAACUGAAGAGAACUGGAAAGUUCCACCGUAGAAGGUAAUAGUCCUGUAAGUGAAACGAGAAGACCACGAGUUAUGAUCCAGAGUACCACGAGACACGUGAAACCUUGUGGGAAGCAGGGAGGACCACCUCCCAAGGCUAAAUACUACCUGAUGACCGAUAGUGAAGCAGUACCGUGAGGGAAAGGUGAAAAGAACCCCGGGAGGGGAGUGAAAUAGAACCUGAAACCGUGUGCCUACAACCGCUCAGAGCCCCUUAUGAGGGUGAUGAGGUGCUUUUUGUAGAACGAGCCAACGAGUUACGGUAUGUAGCAAGGUUAAGUACUUAAGGUACGGAGCCGAAGGGAAACCGAGUCUGAAUAGGGCGACUAGUUGCAUGCCGUAGACCCGAAACCGGGUGACCUAUCCAUGGCCAGGUUGAAGCGAGGGUAAAACCUCGUGGAGGACCGAACCACGUUGCUGUUGAAAAAGCAUGGGAUGAGCUGUGGAUAGCGGAGAAAUUCCAAUCGAACCCGGAGAUAGCUGGUUCUCUCCGAAAUAGCUUUAGGGCUAGCGUCGAGUAUGAGUAGUGGAGGUAGAGCACUGAAUGGGCUAGGGGGCAUAGCGCUUACCGAACCUUAUCAAACUCCGAAUGCCACAUACUUUGAGCUCGGCAGUCAGACUACGAAUGAUAAGAUCCGUGGUCAAAAGGGAAACAGCCCAGAUCGUCAGCUAAGGUCCCAAAGUGUAAGUUAAGUGGGAAAGGAUGUGAGAUUUCUAAGACAACUAGGAUGUUGGCUUAGAAGCAGCCAUUCAUUAAAAGAGUGCGUAAUAGCUCACUAGUCGAGAGAUCUUGCGCCGAAAAUGUAACGGGGCUAAACUUACCACCGAAGCUACGGGCUUGAAC